UUUAGAAUUAGAGAAUGUUUUCUUUUGCCUCUUCAUCAUCAGAAUCGAUAAUAUAAAAUAUAAUAAAUCUAUAAACUGUAGACAGAAGUUUCUGAAACUGUGUAGAUAUUUAAAUUUAUUUUUAAAAUAUAUGAAUUAUUAUAGAUACAAUCUGUGGAUACACCUAAUCUCUGUAAGUGUCCUUGGGCCACAUAAAAUACUCUGGAGGGCCAAAUAUGGACUUCGGAUCAUAAUUUGUCCACCCAUGGUCUAGAUAUAUUAACACUUAAUUACUUGAUUGAUUCUAAAUUAAUGCAAUUUUACUCAACAGAAGCUUUGUUUUUUUAAAUUAUCUUUAAAAUUUUAUUUGUAGUCUUAUCUUAAACUGCCAAGAGUGGAUGAAAUAAUUAUUUAUUUUUGUGUUUUCACCUUAAUUAAGUAUAAGUAAAUGCCUUAAAAUAGAUAGAUUUUUUAUGUCAGGCUAAGCACUUUUCAAAUAGUCUUGAGCACUAGGAUUGUAAGUAAGUUAGAGCUAUAUUGUUUUCUUUGUUUUUCCACCAUCAUGUGAUAAUCUUAUAUGAAUAUAUAUUUUUAUUCUGUAAUCUACAUUUUACGUUAAAAAAGUUUUUUUUUACACAAUAUGUCAGUGUGAUAUUGUUUUAAUUUUAAAAACCCUUGACUGUAAGAUGAAGUUGAUCCCAAGUUAUGAAGUUUGAUAUUUUUACAUAAUUAAUGGUCCUUGGUACUAUUCUACAGAUUGUGAAUCAGAUUUUUGUGUGCAUUUUUUGUAAUUACGCAAGAUAUUCAAGAACAGAGUACAAGAGGCUGCAAUAUAGCCCACAUUAAGUAUGUACAUUAAAUUUCAAUUUUCAUUGAAAGCCAUAAUUUUACUUAAAUCUUUUUUUUUUUGUGAAAAUGAUCUUCAACUAGUUGCAAUAUUUUGGGUUCUUGGCACAAUUAAUUAUUCACUAUUUGUGCUUGAUCUGUCCUUCACCAUGUAUUUAUGCAUAUCAAUCAGGACAUUUAAGACUGUUAUUAAUUUAACUGAUUCUAAAUGUGCUGUUGUUUUUAACAGCAAACUAUGUGUUUUAUUUAUACUUGAUGACAUUUAUAAUGAAAGAUAAAACAAGAAAAAAGAAACCUACAGUUUUUAUUAAUUUUAAUAUUAUGAAAUGGUAUAUGAUUAUUAAAUAACUUAUAAUCACUACCCCUGAGUCAUAUUUCAAUGUAAAAAUUUUUUAAUUUAACUAUACAUAAAACAAAACUCAAAACUGCAAUUCAGAGUUUUAUUUUUUUUUCUAUAAAUUGU
Biomphalaria pfeifferi is the source of this 1288-nucleotide non-coding RNA. NCBI's taxonomy places the organism in Eukaryota, Metazoa, Mollusca, Gastropoda, Planorbidae. The record is from the annotation of a GenBank genome assembly.